AGAAAGUGACAGAGGGGCUAUGUGUUUGACUUGAAAUCAAACUACGGGGGUUCGAUUCCCUCCUUUCUC
RNAcentral lists this transfer RNA (69 nucleotides) under Phrynoderma hexadactylum (Indian five-fingered frog). RNAcentral describes it as "tRNA-Ser". It matches the Rfam family "tRNA". Rfam says of the family: Transfer RNA (tRNA) molecules are approximately 80 nucleotides in length. Their secondary structure includes four short double-helical elements and three loops (D, anti-codon, and T loops). Lineage: Eukaryota; Metazoa; Chordata; Amphibia; Anura; Dicroglossidae. The record is from RNAcentral.